GUGAAUCAUCAAAUUUUUGAACGCAAAUUGCGCUUCCUGGCAUCCCGGGAAGUAUGCCUGUUUGAGGGUCAGUUCUAACAACAAAUCGGGUUGGUUGCAAAUUGUGACGUUUCCGGACUUUGGGCUAUCCGAACUUUUUUGGUUAAGGGGCUUAAAAUUGACCUUAUUGGCGCAUUUUUAGACGUACAUAAAUUUUUUUUUCAUUCUUCAAUCCUAAAUGCU
RNAcentral lists this unclassified non-coding RNA (222 nucleotides) under Glomeraceae sp. Its description in RNAcentral is "partial contains 5.8S ribosomal RNA and internal transcribed spacer 2". The stretch from base 1 to 71 matches the Rfam family "5.8S ribosomal RNA", at positions 84 to 154 of the family's 154-position model. Lineage: Eukaryota; Fungi; Glomeromycota; Glomeromycetes; Glomerales; Glomeraceae. The record is from RNAcentral.